This is a long non-coding RNA of Lycium barbarum (goji berry), 876 nucleotides long. RefSeq lists it as uncharacterized. NCBI's taxonomy places the organism in Eukaryota, Viridiplantae, Streptophyta, Magnoliopsida, Solanales, Solanaceae. The record is from RefSeq and is a predicted model, not a curated record. The transcript has 2 exons.
UAAGCGGCACAUGGUUUACAAAGCAUCAUAUCAUACUAUAUAAUAGACCCCACAAUUCAAGAAUGGACAGCCGGUACCAAAGAUUUUGUAGUAUAAUAUAUAAAAUAAAAUAAAAAUAUAUUGUAAUAUUUACGGGGUCUUUUUCGAUUUUUGAAAGUCAAACGAGUUUUUCCUUAAUCACAAUUUUAAUAGAUACCUUUUAAUAUUUUGAAUUGACAAUUUUUGUGGCUUAGUAAUAUUUUUUAUGUAGUUUUUAAAUAUGUAAUUUUAUUUUAAAACAAUUAAAGAUUUAAUAUUUGAAUUUACGGUCAAAUUAAAGUAUUUGAUUUUCAAAAUCCAAAGGACACAUAAAUUGGGACAAAGGGAGUACAAUAUUAUGUAUAUAAACCUCUUCAAUUGUUUCAAACUUCUCAGCCUCUUCAAUAUCAAAGCUCUAUCAAUCUUUAAUUGUCACUCUUUAAAUUUUCUUAGAUGCCAAGAAGGGACAAUCUUGAACUUUGAUAUUUUUGCUAUAAUGGCACUGUCUAGAGUUGUUGUUGGACUGGCCAUUUUUGUUGUGGCAUUGGUCACUAUUAUUCCCUUUGGACAAGCUCAAGGACUUGCUCCUGCUCCUGCACCUGCCAGUGAUGGAACAACAGUUGAUCAAGGGAUUGCAUAUGUGCUGAUGCUGGUGGCUUUGGUUCUUACCUAUCUUAUCCACCCUAUGGAUGCUUCUACCUACAUCUUCUUCUAAAAAUUAUAUAGAAUUAUGUCUAUUUUUUUUUAUUUUUGUUUAUCUUUUAGUUUUGCAAUCUGAGAGGGAAUUAGAAAGUUCAAACACGGAGUUGUAUUAACAAAUUCAUUCAUGUCUUAUUGGUAAUAACACGAAAUUAUAUA